Molecule: long non-coding RNA, 2307 nt
Organism: Homo sapiens (human)
Lineage: Eukaryota; Metazoa; Chordata; Mammalia; Primates; Hominidae
Gene: GFOD3P
Product: Gfo/Idh/MocA-like oxidoreductase domain containing 3, pseudogene
Source: Ensembl
GGGACCGCAGCUCCCCGCUCCCCAGGUGUGGGGGCUCCGACACGAACGCCUCUGCUCGCAGGGCGGUGAGCGCAGAUCCCACGGGUCCCUCGGUCGGGGGUCGAGGCUGCUUCCGUUUCCAUCCCGGACCCGACAAUGGGCGGGAAAAAGAAGGCUUUACACGACUACGCGGCGGAGUUCACCGACCUGGUGGUGAAGCACCUGAUUGAGCACAGUGACUCUGGGGACACGUCUGUGGUGGAGACCCUUUACUGCAGGGCCUGCGAGCUGCCCGUGCGCGUGCGGAGGGACCGCAUCCUGGAACACCUGUCCUCGGGCAGGCAGCACGGCCUGCGGACGCCCAUUCUCAUGUAAAUGUCAGUGCCAACGCUGGUGUUUCAGGAGUCAUCCCAGCGGGCUGCGGGCUAUUUUAGGAUUCUCUGCCCUGCAAACGUUUCCAAAGUACGUGGACAGGCCGCCUGAUGACACUACGUUUACGGGAUCUGCUAGUGGCUUGCCUACUUAGGGAGUAAACCCUGUGAAGUCUCGCAGUUUUGUUAAAGUGUGCGUGGCCACCUGAAUGCUGCCUUAUCACAAGCCAGAUACAUACUGGUCUGUAGGGUAACUCCCCACUGUUGAUCCUCUGAGAUGAUUGUGGACUGGGUGCUGUGAGUCCUGCCACUUUGUUUAAGUGAAUGUGUCUUUUGUCCAGCUCAGCCGCCUCGGAUCUCGCUGCCACCAGCCUUACUGCACACCCGUGCCACCCGCCCUUGCCCCGUCAGCCUCAGCCUCAGCUCAUUCUCUCAGGCAGUCCCAGCAUUGGCACGGUACCUCCUCCCGCUGUGGGCCACACGUCUCUGCUCCCUGUCAACCCUCCUGCCAUCAGCACCACCACCAGCGACUUGUCUGCCCGGGAGGAUGCAACACCAUCUGCCUCCACCGGCCACCUUUCAGUGUUUCCUGCUUUCCAAGUAAAGAUACCAGCAGUGCCCUCAGAGCAGACCAGCCAGAGUUUUUCUGAAGCCUCCCACAGGGUGCUCCCCGGAGGAGGCCCGAGAUGCUCUCGUGACUUUGGAGCCGGGGUGGCUGGCCACCUUGGCCUGGGCAUCUUUGGGGUGGGCUUCGGGAGCCCGGCACUGCUGCAGAGUGUGGUGGAUGAGAACAGCUGCUGCUUGCUGUACGUGGUGGAGGACCAGCUGUGUGAUGUGGAGCAAGCCUUCAGAGCUGAGCAUUUGGGCCAACACCAGAGUGGUUCGGGAACAGGAUGCAGACAUUGUCCUCAACGACCAGCGGCACUUUGAUCCGGUUUUCCAGUUCUUGCACAAGCAAGUUUGUGUCAGCCACGCCCUGGGGAGGAUCCACUGGAUCACCGCCGUCACUGCCUGUUCCCGGCGGCCUCUCCGGCUUCCCUAAAGAGAGCAGGUGGGACUUUCUACAACGCUGCUGUGCACGACGUGGAUGCCGUAUGCAUGUUGCUGGGGGAAGCCACUCCGGACACUGUGUUUUCUCUGGGACAUGUCUUCUGCCCAGAUAUGGCCGCCUUAAAAGAUGCAGAUGCUGUUGUGAUCAGCAUGAAGUUUCCCUGUGAGGCCGUGGUUAGCGUGGACAUCAGCCAGCACUGCACAGACAGCUGCGACCAGGACGUCAGCCAGCACUGCACAGACAGCUGCGACCAGAGACUGGAGAUGGAGUCUUGCCCUGUCACCCAGGCUGGAGUGCAAUGGUGCGAUCUCGGCUCACUGCAACCUCCGUCUCCCAGGUUCAAGCGAUUCUUCUGCCUCAGCCUUCUGAGUAGCUGGGAUUACACGCGUGUGCCACCACGCUCGGCUAAUUUUUGUAUUUUUAGUAGAGAUGGGAUUUCACCAUGUUGGCCAGGCUGGUCUCGAACUACUGACCUCGUGAUCCACCUGCCAUGGCCUCCCAAAGUGCUGGGAUUACAGGCGUGAGCCACCAUGCUCGGCCUAAAAAACAAUUUUCUUGAAGAAUCCGAUUUUGUGCAUAGUAAUGACACAGCACCAUUCCUGAGAAAUAGGAAAUAUAUGUGUGUGGUAUGAAAAGCCCAUAUUCUGUUCUUGUCACCUGAAUCUAGGCUUCCUCUUUGGAUGUGAACGCGGGAAUGAACAGUGGCUGUUUUCCACCCAAAGGGGCGUGGAGACCUUUUGGAAACGGGCUUUCUCCUUUCCAUUUUGCAGCCGGGGGCGGGUGGAAACCUUCCUUCGAAGGGUAGUGCCUUGGGGAGCAGCAGACCUGCUCUGAGUCCAGCUUAGCUUUCCAAAAUUCUGUGUGGAACUUACUGGAGAUGUUUUUAUAUAUUUGAAAAUAAUGGCC